Molecule: ribosomal RNA, 442 nt
Filed under: Marinobacter sp. NIOB 779
Lineage: Bacteria; Pseudomonadati; Pseudomonadota; Gammaproteobacteria; Pseudomonadales; Marinobacteraceae
Description: bacterial SSU rRNA
Rfam family: Bacterial small subunit ribosomal RNA
Source: RNAcentral
AUCCCAUUUAUUCGACGCACGCGCAGAACCUUACCUGCGCCUUGACAUCCAGAGAACUUUCCAGAGAUGGAUUGGUGCCUUCGGGAACUCUGAGACAGGUGCUGCAUGGCCGUCGUCAGCUCGUGUCGUGAGAUGUUGGGUUAAGUCCCGUAACGAGCGCAACCCCUAUCCCUGGUUGCUAGCAGGUAAUGCUGAGAACUCCAGGGAGACUGCCGGUGACAAACCGGAGGAAGGUGGGGAUGACGUCAGGUCAUCAUGGGCCUUACGGCCAUGGCUACACACAUGCUACCAUGGACGAGAACGAGAGGGCGGCCAAUCUCGCAGGAGCAGCCAAUCCCUUCAAAAGCGCCCAAUUCCGGAUCGGAAUCUGCACCUCGAUUCCGGGAAGGGGGAAUCUCUUUAUUUGCAAAUCAAAUAGACCCGUUGAACACUUUCUCGGCCA